Molecule: long non-coding RNA, 1769 nt
Organism: Oncorhynchus keta (chum salmon)
Lineage: Eukaryota; Metazoa; Chordata; Actinopteri; Salmoniformes; Salmonidae
Exons: 6
Source: RefSeq, a predicted model, not a curated record
GUGUUGUGCAGUAUCCAGAGCUAUGGGGUCAGAUUAAGUGUUUUCUACAGUUUUCUGGGUAUAUUAUUUGAUGGUAUAUACUGUAAACUAAAUGUCCCCAUUGAAACGAUAUCUUGAUUACUCUUAACUGCAUUAUUGCGUUACACGGGGGGGUAGAGUUGCUGUUGGUAAAAACGUUGUGUUCUUUGUCACAAAAUAUGCAUAUUUGUUCAUGCUUAACAGGUUAUAUACACUUUCUUUGUGUGUUGGCACAUCUCGGAAAGCACACGUAUCUCUUUAGCAUUAUCAACAUGUUCUCUGGUGUGGAUAAUCUAGCAUAAUGGUGCACUGCCCUUGAUUGAAUUUGGAUUUACACCCCUGAGGAGGAGGUUCACCGGGUUUAGAAUAACACAAAGUAAAGUAUUGGAUUUGGAUUUACACCCCUGAGGAGGAGGUUCACCGGGUUUAGAAUAACACAAAGUAAAGUAUUGGAUUUGGAUUUACACCCCUGAGGAGGAGGUUUACCGGGUUUAGAAUAACACAAAGUAAAGUAUUGGAUUUGGAUUUACACCCCUGAGGAGGAGGUUCACCGGGUUUAGAAUAACACAAAGUAAAGUAUUGGAUUUGGAUUUACACCCCUGAGGAGGAGGUUCACCGGGUUUAGAAUAACACAAAGUAAAGUAUUGGAUUUGGAUUUACACCCCUGAGGAGGAGGUUUACCGGGUUUAGAAUAACACAAAGUAAAGUAUUGGAUUUGGAUUUACACCCCUGAGGAGGAGGUUCACCGGGUUUAGAAUAACACAAAGUAAAGUAUUGGAUUUGGAUUUACACCCCUGAGGAGGAGGUUUACCGGGUUUAGAAUAACACAAAGUAAAGUAUUGGAUUUGGAUUUACACCCCUGAGGAGGAGGUUUACCGGGUUUAGAAUAACACAAAGUAAAGUAUUGGAUUUGGAUUUACACCCCUGAGGAGGAGGUUCACCGGGUUUAGAAUAACACAAAGUAAAGUAUUGGAUUUGGAUUUACACCCCUGAGGAGGAGGUUCACCGGGUUUAGAAUAACACAAAGUAAAGUAUUGGAUUUGGAUUUACACCCCUGAGGAGGAGGUUCACCGGGUUUAGAAUAACACAAAGUAAAGUAUUGGAUUUGGAUUUACACCCCUGAGGAGGAGGUUCACCGGGUUUAGAAUAACACAAAGUAAAGUAUUGGAUUUGGAUUUACACCCCUGAGGAGGAGGUUCACCGGGUUUAGAAUAACACAAAGUAAAGUAUUGGAUUUGGAUUUACACCCCUGAGGAGGAGGUUCACCGGGUUUAGAAUAACACAAAGUAAAGUAUUGGAUUUGGAUUUACACCCCUGAGGAGGAGGUUCACCGGGUUUAGAAUAACACAAAGUAAAGUAUUGGAUUUGGAUUUACACCCCUGAGGAGGAGGUUCACCGGGUUUAGAAUAACACAAAGUAAAGUAUUGGAUUUGGAUUUACACCCCUGAGGAGGAGGUUCACCGGGUUUAGAAUAACACAAAGUAAAGUAUUGGAUUUGGAUUUACACCCCUGAGGAGGAGGUUCACCGGGUUUAGAAUAACACAAAGUAAAGUAUUGGAUUUGGCCUUCACAGACAGUACAAAUAGAAUGUUAGUCUCCUCUCCUCUCACCAUCCUUUUGAAGAAAUACACCACAUCUGAACAAAGAACUGACAGAAUUAAAGAUAGCUUGUGUCCUGAGUCCUGAACUGUUUUUCUUUCCAGUGUUUCUACCUCUGGGGGAAGCAAAACUUCAUUUUAAAGAUGUCGGCU